GCGGGUGUAGCUCAGUUGGUAGAGCGCGGUCCUUCCAAGUCCGAUGUCGCGUGUUCGAAUCACGUUACCCGCU
This 73-nucleotide transfer RNA is filed under the name Phacus arnoldii. RNAcentral describes it as "tRNA-Gly". It matches the Rfam family "tRNA". Rfam says of the family: Transfer RNA (tRNA) molecules are approximately 80 nucleotides in length. Their secondary structure includes four short double-helical elements and three loops (D, anti-codon, and T loops). The record is from RNAcentral. Lineage: Eukaryota; Euglenozoa; Euglenophyceae; Euglenales; Phacaceae.